CUUGUACACACCGCCCGUUCACACCAUGGGAGCGGGUUCUGCCAGAAGUAGUUAGCCUAACCGCAAGGAGGGCGAUUACCACGGCAGGGUUCGUGACUGGGGUG
This 104-nucleotide ribosomal RNA is filed under the name uncultured bacterium. RNAcentral's name for it is "partial 16S ribosomal RNA". It matches the Rfam family "Bacterial small subunit ribosomal RNA", at positions 1380 to 1482 of the family's 1533-position model. The record is from RNAcentral.